RNAcentral lists this transfer RNA (25 nucleotides) under Diadema antillarum. Its description in RNAcentral is "partial tRNA-Lys". The record is from RNAcentral. Lineage: Eukaryota; Metazoa; Echinodermata; Echinoidea; Diadematoida; Diadematidae.
AGUAGCUAANCUCUACUAUUAAGGA